Non-coding RNA from Meleagris gallopavo (turkey), 1178 nucleotides. NCBI's taxonomy places the organism in Eukaryota, Metazoa, Chordata, Aves, Galliformes, Phasianidae. The record is from RefSeq and is a predicted model, not a curated record.
CCAGCAGGGAAGGAUCUCUUUUGGUGAUCCCUCCUUUGGAGUUUUGCAGCGAGCCUAGGAUGUAGGUGACCUCACAGACAAUACACUUUUGAAGAGAAGGAAUCUUCAAGGUGAAGAAACAAGCCUUCCAGGACAUCAGAAAAACUGUGGGUGAAAUACCUUCUACUUCCCCAGUGAGAUCAUCAGGAAAAAUUUCUCACAUGCUUCAGUCUGUGCUGCAGCAUUACUGUAUUGUAGAUUUAGUUAGUGAUCAAACAGAAAUUUUAUAUGUGAAUAUUAGGUUUCAUAUAAAACACUCAUAACAUACUGCUGUUUUUUUUUGUAAUGGUCUGACAAGUAGGACUUGACCUGAAAUGGUCACAUUGUGAUAAAAAGCUACUUAUCCUACUUGUUGCAUUCCCAACUGCAAUGCAGCGCUGCACAGAAUAUUAUCUCAGGUUGUGUUGUUUUCAAAAGAGGUUACUCAACGCAUCGUGUUACCCCAUCUAUACUUUGUUUCAUAGCAGCAUUUCAGAGCAUUCUUUAUUCAGCUAAUCUUUGGUAAAAGGAAUUUUCCAUCAGAGGAGAAGUUGUUGAAGCCGCUCUUUUGAAUGCAUCAACAUGUCUAAGACACUGCAUUUGCUUAUUUAUCUGACAUUGCUUAUGUCUGUAAACAGCUUUUGUAUCUUUUUCUUCUGGGAGUAGAUGAUGUAUACUGUGUACUCAAUGCAGGCAUUUCACUGUCCAUCACUUACAAUUUUUGAUCCAUUUUAGCAUUUGGUUUCCUAUCACUAUAAUGUUAGAAUGUUAUAAUGAAAGCCUAAAGCUUUUAGUACUAUCUGUUUGGUAGCCUAGUUGGUUAAUUUAUUCUUUUUUUUUAAAUCUGGAUGAACUAUUGCCACCAAAAGAACAGUUUAUGGAAUAAAUAGCUAAAAAUAUAGCUUUGAUGGAGGCUAUUAAACAGUUUAAUCUUGGAAAUACCUUGCAACAUAGAAAACAUAGACAUGGUGGAGCAAUAUAGAAGGCGGCCACUUGAAUAAAUUCUAAUAUAUACUCACUGUAAUAUACUACUUCUCUUUAAAUUCUGUGGAAUACCUUCAUGAAAAUCUUCUUAUGAUGAUUAUUAUCUUACUCCAGGAAAAAAAAAAAACAAUUUCUGUAGAAUUUGAGAGGUAAUAUUACUCAGCUUAAAAAAAAAA